Molecule: ribosomal RNA, 193 nt
Filed under: uncultured Helicobacter sp.
Lineage: Bacteria; Pseudomonadati; Campylobacterota; Epsilonproteobacteria; Campylobacterales; Helicobacteraceae
Description: partial 23S ribosomal RNA
Rfam family: Bacterial large subunit ribosomal RNA
Source: RNAcentral
CGGUCCUAAGGUAGCGAAAUUCCUUGUCGGUUAAAUACCGACCUGCAUGAAUGGCGUAACGAGAUGGGAGCUGUCUCAACCAGAGAUUCAGUGAAAUUGUAGUGGAGGUGAAAAUUCCUCCUACCCGCGGCAAGACGGAAAGACCCCGUGGACCUUUACUACAACUUAGCACUGCUAAUGGGAAUAUCAUGCG